Long non-coding RNA from Rhineura floridana, 541 nucleotides. RefSeq lists it as uncharacterized. Lineage: Eukaryota; Metazoa; Chordata; Lepidosauria; Squamata; Rhineuridae. The transcript has 4 exons. The record is from RefSeq and is a predicted model, not a curated record.
CCAGUCAUGGCUUGUAUAGGGUUCCUCCUCCGUAUUCUUUUCUAGUUGCUUGUCCGCGAAAAACUGUGUGAUCUUCGUCUGGGUGUCUGUCCUCUGCAAUGAACCAUCCUGUGAAAGGGGAGAGAUUCCCAGGACCUUAUACCCAGUUCUGGUGGUUUUGACAUUUCACAAAGUGGAUUGUGAACAAACUUGCUUCAUAAAAAAAGGGAAGAACUCCAAAUUGCUUUGAGGAUUGUAAUUUUCUGGAGUGCAUGAGCAUUUUAAGUGGAAUUCAUCAUCAACUCCAGGAGAAAAAGGAGAAAGGAGCAGUGUUAUGGAAAAAGAAGAGGACCCUCAACAGCUUGGAUCCAGGAUACCAUCUGAUCCCUUAUAUCUCUGCCCAAUCACUGAGGUUUUCAGCGUCCCCCAUGGCUUGGAUGGUUGGCUCAUAUCUGGCAGGAGCUGAGCCCAGUCCUAUGGAACUCCCUCCCAGUUGAGAUCAAACUAGACUCCCUUCUGAACUUCCAGCACCUUAUCAAGACCUUUUAUUUCAGCAGGUAUU